Molecule: ribosomal RNA, 520 nt
Filed under: uncultured Glomeromycotina
Lineage: Eukaryota; Fungi; Glomeromycota
Description: SSU rRNA
Rfam family: Eukaryotic small subunit ribosomal RNA
Source: RNAcentral
AGCAGCCGCGGUAAUUCCAGCUCCAAUAGCGUAUAUUAAAGUUGUUGCAGUUAAAAAGCUCGUAGUUGAAUUUCGGGGCCAGUAGGUUGGUCGUGCCACUGGUAUGCACUGGUCUCACUGGUCCCUCCUUCUUGUAGAACCGUGAUGGCAUUAAUUUGUUGUUGCGGGGAAACAGGACUGUUACUUUGAAAAAAUUAGAGUGCUUAAAGCAGGCUCGCGCUUGAAUACAUUAGCAUGGAAUAACGGAAUAGGACGAUCGAACCUAUUUUGUUGGUUUCUAGGAUCGACGUAAUGAUUAAUAGGGAUAGUUGGGGGCAUUAGUAUUCAAUUGUCAGAGGUGAAAUUCUUGGAUUUAUUGAAGACUAACUACUGCGAAAGCAUUUGCCAAGGAUGUUUUCAUUAAUCAAGAACGAAAGUUAGGGGAUCGAAGACGAUCAGAUACCGUCGUAGUCUUAACCAUAAACUAUGCCGACUAGGGAUCGGAUGAAGUUAAUUUUUUAAUGACUCAUUCGGCGCCUUA